RNAcentral lists this ribosomal RNA (467 nucleotides) under uncultured bacterium. Its description in RNAcentral is "partial 16S ribosomal RNA". It matches the Rfam family "Bacterial small subunit ribosomal RNA", at positions 28 to 507 of the family's 1533-position model. The record is from RNAcentral.
GACGAACGCUGGCGGCGUGCUUAACACAUGCAAGUCGAACAGAAAGGCCUCUUUCGGGGGGUACUCGAGUGGCGAACGGGUGAGUAACACGUGAGUAACCUGCCCUUGACUUUGGGAUAACUUCAGGAAACUGGGGCUAAUACCGGAUAGGAGCUCCUGCUGCAUGGUGGGGGUUGGAAAGUUUCGGCGGUUGGGGAUGGACUCGCGGCUUAUCAGCUUGUUGGUGGGGUAGUGGCUUACCAAGGCUUUGACGGGUAGCCGGCCUGAGAGGGUGACCGGCCACAUUGGGACUGAGAUACGGCCCAGACUCCUACGGGAGGCAGCAGUGGGGAAUAUUGCACAAUGGGUGGAAGCCUGAUGCAGCAACGCCGUGUGCGGGAUGACGGCCUUCGGGUUGUAAACCGCUUUCGCUCAUGACGAAGCUUUGUGUGACGGUAGUGGGUAAAGAAGCACCGGCUAACUACGUG